GUGCUCACUUAAGCAGCACAUAUAUUAAAAUUGGAAUUAUACAGAGAAGACUAGUAUGGCCAAUUGCAAGAAUGGCAUGCAAAUUCACAAAGUGAUAUAUGUGUGU
This is a small nuclear RNA of Jaculus jaculus (lesser Egyptian jerboa), 106 nucleotides long. The record is from RefSeq and is a predicted model, not a curated record. NCBI's taxonomy places the organism in Eukaryota, Metazoa, Chordata, Mammalia, Rodentia, Dipodidae.